Molecule: ribosomal RNA, 443 nt
Filed under: uncultured bacterium
Lineage: Bacteria
Description: partial 16S ribosomal RNA
Rfam family: Bacterial small subunit ribosomal RNA
Source: RNAcentral
CCUACGGUAGGCUGCAGUGGGGAAUAUUGGGCAAUGGAGGCAACUCUGACCCAGCAACGCCGCGUGAGCGAUGAAGGUCUUCGGAUUGUAAAGCUCUUUAAGCGGGGACGAAGAAAGUGACUGUACCCGCAGAAUAAGCCUCGGCUAACUACGUGCCAGCAGCCGCGGUAAUGCGUAGGAGGCAAGCGUUCUCCGGAAGUACGUGGCGUAAAGGGUGCGUAGGUGGUCUGGCAAGUUGGUAGCGAAAUACCGGGGCUCCACCUCGGUGCUACUACCAAAACUGGUGGACUUGAGUGCAGGAGGGGUGAAUGGAAGUCCCAGUGUAGCGGUGGAAUGCGUAGAUAUUGGGACGAACACCAGCGGCGAAGGCGAUUCACUGGACUGUAACUGACACUGAGGCACGAAAGCGUGGGGAGCAAACAGGAUUAGAUACCCGGGUAGUC